GACGAACGCUGGCGGCGUGCUUAACACAUGCAAGUCGAACGGAAAGGCCCUGCUUUUGUGGGGUGCUCGAGUGGCGAACGGGUGAGUAACACGUGAGUAACCUGCCCUUGACUUUGGGAUAACUUCAGGAAACUGGGGCUAAUACCGGAUAGGAGCUCCUGCUGCAUGGUGGGGGUUGGAAAGUUUCGGCGGUUGGGGAUGGACUCGCGGCUUAUCAGCUUGUUGGUGGGGUAGUGGCUUACCAAGGCUUUGACGGGUAGCCGGCCUGAGAGGGUGACCGGCCACACUGGAACUGAGACACGGUCCAGACUCCUACGGGAGGCAGCAGUGGGGAAUAUUGCACAAUGGGCGGAAGCCCGAUGCAGCAACGCCGCGUGCGGGAUGACGGCCUUCGGGUUGUAAACCGCUUUCGCCUGUGACGAAGCGUGAGUGACGGUAAUGGGUAAAGAAGCACCGGCUAACUACGUGCCAGCAGCCGCGGUGAUACGUAGGGUGCGAGCGUUGUCCGGAUUUAUUGGGCGUAAAGGGCUCGUAGGUGGUUGAUCGCGUCGGAAGUGUAAUCUUGGGGCUUAACCCUGAGCGUGCUUUCGAUACGGGUUGACUUGAGGAAGGUAGGGGAGAAUGGAAUUCCAGGUGUAGCGGUGAAAUGCGUAGAGAUCUGGAGGAAUACCGGUGGCGAAGGCGGCCCCCUGGACAAAGACUGACGCUCAGGUGCGAAAGCGUGGGGAGCAAACAGGAUUAGAUACCCUGGUAGUCCACGCCGUAAACGAUGUCGAUUUGGAGGUUGUGCCCUUGAGGCGUGGCUUCCGGAGCUAACGCGUUAAAUCGACCGCCUGGGGAGUACGGCCGCAAGGUUAAAACUCAAAUGAAUUGACGGGGGCCCGCACAAGCGGUGGAGCAUGUGGUUUAAUUCGAUGCAACGCGAAGAACCUUACCUGGUCUUGACAUCCACAGAACUUUCCAGAGAUGGAUUGGUGCCUUCGGGAACUGUGAGACAGGUGCUGCAUGGCUGUCGUCAGCUCGUGUUGUGAAAUGUUGGGUUAAGUCCCGCAACGAGCGCAACCCUUAUCCUUUGUUGCCAGCGGUUAGGCCGGGAACUCAAAGGAGACUGCCAGUGAUAAACUGGAGGAAGGUGGGGAUGACGUCAAGCCAUCAUGGCCCUUACGACCAGGGCUACACACGUGCUACAAUGGCAUAUACAAAGAGAAGCGACCUCGCGAGAGCAAGCGGACCUCAUAAAGUAUGUCGUAGUCCGGAUUGGAGUCUGCAACUCGACUCCAUGAAGUCGGAAUCGCUAGUAAUCGUAGAUCAGAAUGCUACGGUGAAUACGUUCCCGGGCCU
This 1341-nucleotide ribosomal RNA is filed under the name uncultured bacterium. Its description in RNAcentral is "partial 16S ribosomal RNA". It matches the Rfam family "Bacterial small subunit ribosomal RNA", at positions 28 to 1381 of the family's 1533-position model. The record is from RNAcentral.